Molecule: ribosomal RNA, 497 nt
Filed under: uncultured bacterium
Lineage: Bacteria
Description: partial 16S ribosomal RNA
Rfam family: Bacterial small subunit ribosomal RNA
Source: RNAcentral
GAUGAACGCUGGCGGCGUGCCUAAUACAUGCAAGUCGAGCGAACAGAUGAGGAGCUUGCUCCUCUGACGUUAGCGGCGGACGGGUGAGUAACACGUGGAUAACCUACCUAUAAGACUGGGAUAACUUCGGGAAACCGGAGCUAAUACCGGAUAAUAUAUUGAACCGCAUGGUUCAAUAGUGAAAGACGGUUUUGCUGUCACUUAUAGAUGGAUCCGCGCCGCAUUAGCUAGUUGGUAAGGUAACGGCUUACCAAGGCAACGAUGCGUAGCCGACCUGAGAGGGUGAUAGGCCACACUGGAACGUAGACACGGUCCAGACUCCUACGGGAGGCAGCAGUAGGGAAUCUUCCGCAAUGGGCGAAAGCCUGACGGAGCAACGCCGCGUGAGUGAUGAAGGUCUUCGGAUCGUAAAACUCUGUUAUUAGGGAAGAACAAAUGUGUAAGUAACUAUGCACGUCUUGACGGUACCUAAUCAGAAAGCCACGGCUAACUACGUG